Molecule: ribosomal RNA, 1283 nt
Filed under: Pseudidiomarina sediminum DSM 21906
Lineage: Bacteria; Pseudomonadati; Pseudomonadota; Gammaproteobacteria; Alteromonadales; Idiomarinaceae
Description: bacterial LSU rRNA
Rfam family: Bacterial large subunit ribosomal RNA
Source: RNAcentral
ACGGGUGCGAAGUUGUUGAUGCCCUGCUUCCAGGAAAAGCCUCUAAGCUUCAGGUACAUGUUGACCGUACCCCAAACCGACACAGGUGGUCAGGUAGAGAAUACUAAGGCGCUUGAGAGAACUCGGGUGAAGGAACUAGGCAAAAUAGUACCGUAACUUCGGGAGAAGGUACGCCAGAGCUGGUGAAAUCCACACGGAUGGAGCCGGAGCUGGCCGCAGUGACCAGGUGGCUGGGACUGUUUAUUAAAAACACAGCACUCUGCAAAAUCGAAAGAUGACGUAUAGGGUGUGACACCUGCCCGGUGCCGGAAGGUUAAUUGAUGGGGUUAGCGUAUGCGAAGCUCUUGAUCGAAGCCCCGGUAAACGGCGGCCGUAACUAUAACGGUCCUAAGGUAGCGAAAUUCCUUGUCGGGUAAGUUCCGACCUGCACGAAUGGUGUAACCAUGGCCACGCUGUCUCCACCCGAGACUCAGUGAAAUUGAAAUCGCCGUGAAGAUGCGGUGUACCCGCGGCUAGACGGAAAGACCCCGUGAACCUUUACUACAGCUUGGCACUGAACAUUGAACCUCCAUGUGUAGGAUAGGUGGGAGGCUUUGAAGCGUUGGCGCUAGUUGACGUGGAGCCAUCCUUGAAAUACCACCCUUGUAUGUUUGAUGUUCUAACUUAGGCCCAUUAUCUGGGUCGAGGACAGUGCCUGGUGGGUAGUUUGACUGGGGCGGUCUCCUCCCAAAGCGUAACGGAGGAGCACGAAGGUUGGCUAAGUACGGUCGGACAUCGUACGGUUAGUGUAAUGGCACAAGCCAGCUUAACUGCGAGACAGACACGUCGAGCAGGUGCGAAAGCAGGUCAUAGUGAUCCGGUGGUUCUGUAUGGAAGGGCCAUCGCUCAACGGAUAAAAGGUACUCCGGGGAUAACAGGCUGAUACCGCCCAAGAGUUCAUAUCGACGGCGGUGUUUGGCACCUCGAUGUCGGCUCAUCACAUCCUGGGGCUGUAGUCGGUCCCAAGGGUAUGGCUGUUCGCCAUUUAAAGUGGUACGCGAGCUGGGUUUAGAACGUCGUGAGACAGUUCGGUCCCUAUCUGCCGUGGGCGUUUGAGAGUUGAGAGGGGUUGCUCCUAGUACGAGAGGACCGGAGUGAACGAACCUCUGGUGUUCGGGUUGUCACGCCAGUGGCACUGCCCGGUAGCUAUGUUCGGAAUCGAUAACCGCUGAAAGCAUCUAAGCGGGAAGCGAGCCUCAAGAUAAGCUCUCACUAGCACGUAAGUGCUCUAAAGGGUUGUUGAA